AGUAAUAAGUUAAUUGAGAAAAAAUAAUUCCGGACUACAAAAUAAAACCAAAGGAAACUCAUUAACUAUAAGAGGAAAACAAAGGAUGACAACAAAACGUGAUAGAAAUAUAGCACAAACACAUGCAAUUUUAAUGUUUUCGUUUAUGAUUAUCGCUAGUUUGCUAACAACACAUCGUUCUUUGAAUUACUGAAUAUGAAAAUAAGAAGAUGUGGUUGGAUUGCCAAUGAAACAACUAUCCACCAAAAGAUCAACG
RNAcentral lists this long non-coding RNA (256 nucleotides) under Mytilus galloprovincialis (Mediterranean mussel). Lineage: Eukaryota; Metazoa; Mollusca; Bivalvia; Mytilida; Mytilidae. The record is from RNAcentral.